ACAACAAUCCGGCGGAUGCGGAUGCCGUACCGGAGGAUCCGGUUCGGGCCAAGGAGAGUCGGUCGGAAGUUGUUGCGGAAAGCAACAGCAAUCCGGCGGAUGCGGAUGCCGCAUCGGAGGAUCCGAUUCGGGCCAAGCAGAGUCGGCUUGAAGAGUUGAAGCGGAACGUGGCCGGCUCUGAC
This 182-nucleotide long non-coding RNA is filed under the name Harpegnathos saltator (Jerdon's jumping ant). RNAcentral describes it as "uncharacterized LOC112589443". Lineage: Eukaryota; Metazoa; Arthropoda; Insecta; Hymenoptera; Formicidae. The record is from RNAcentral.